This 929-nucleotide long non-coding RNA is filed under the name Citrus x clementina. RNAcentral's name for it is "Citrus clementina (C. clementina) long non-coding RNA (CCLE_LNC003792)". The record is from RNAcentral. Lineage: Eukaryota; Viridiplantae; Streptophyta; Magnoliopsida; Sapindales; Rutaceae.
CGGUUAUUUUUCGGCGCGGUUUUGUCCGCGGCCUAUUUUUGGCACACGGAGGUCCCUCGUAAAGGCUCGCGCCAUUCCGAGUCCGGCGAAGGAAGUCGGCCAGCCCCACCCCCCAAGGCUAUAGCCCACCCGUUUUUUUGGGCUUUUUCCGCCGGACGAACUUGGCGUCCCGGCCUUCGGGCGGUUAUUUUUGGGCGCGGCUGUGCCCGCGGCCUAUUUUUGGCACACGGAGGUGCCUCGCAAAGUCUCGCUCCAUUCCGAGUCCGGCGGACGAAGUUGGCCAGCCCCACCCCCCAAGGCUAUAGCCCACCCGUUUUUGUGGCCUUUUUCCGCUGGACGAACUUGGCUCCCCGGCCUUCGGGCGGUUAAUUUUGGGCGCGGCUUUGCCCGCGGCCUAUUUUUGGCACAUGGGGGCCCCUCGCAAAGUCUCGCGGCAUUCCGAGUCCGGCGGACGAAGUUGGCCAGCCCCACACCCCAAGGCUAUAGCCCACCCGUUUUUGUGGCCUUUUUCCGCUGGACGAACUUGGCGCCCCGGCCGUCGGGCGGCUAUUUUUUGGCGCGGCUUUUCCCACGGCCUAUUUUUGGCACACAGAGGCCCCUCGCAAACUCUCGCGGCAUUCCGAGUCCGGCGGACGAAGUUGGCCAGCCCCACCCCCCAAGGCUGCCCAACCGUAUUUGUGGCCUCUUUCCGCUGGAUGAACUUGGCGCCCCGGCCUUCGGGCGGUUAAUUUUGGGCGCGGCUUUGCCCGCGGCCUAGUUUUUGCACACGGAGGACCCUCGCAAAAUCUCGCGGCAUUCCGAGUCCGGCGGACGAAGUUGGCCAGCCCCACCCCCCAAGGCUAUAGCCCACACGUUUUUGUGGCUUUUUUCCAGUGGAUGAACUAGGCGCCCCGGCCUUCGGGCGGUUAAUUUUGGGCGCGGCUUUGCCC